UUGCUAACGGGUUAUGCCGAGAACUCUAAUGAGACUGCCUUCGUAAGGAGGAGGAAGGUGGGGACGACGUCAAGUCAUCAUGGCCCUUAUGCCUGGGGCGACACACGUGCUACAAUGGUAUGUACAGAGAGACGCAAUACGGCGACGUGGAGCAAAUCUCUAAAACAUAUCUCAGUUCGGAUUGUAGUCUGCAACUCGACUACAUGAAGCUGGAAUCGCUAGUAAUCGCGGAUCAGCCAUGCCGCGGUGAAUACGUUCCCGGGUCUU
This 267-nucleotide ribosomal RNA is filed under the name uncultured Helicobacter sp. RNAcentral describes it as "partial 16S ribosomal RNA". It matches the Rfam family "Bacterial small subunit ribosomal RNA", at positions 1115 to 1382 of the family's 1533-position model. The record is from RNAcentral. Lineage: Bacteria; Pseudomonadati; Campylobacterota; Epsilonproteobacteria; Campylobacterales; Helicobacteraceae.